Long non-coding RNA from Neogale vison (American mink), 358 nucleotides. RefSeq lists it as uncharacterized. The transcript has 6 exons. The record is from RefSeq and is a predicted model, not a curated record. NCBI's taxonomy places the organism in Eukaryota, Metazoa, Chordata, Mammalia, Carnivora, Mustelidae.
UCACCGAGCCUGCGACCGGUUCAAGCUGGGUAACUAGAAUUUAACAGAGACUAACAUCAAUAGCUGGAGGUAUUUUGCACAGAUUCAGAGGCUUUCUUUCCAGUGGAGGAUAUCACAGCUACUGGAAGCCUUGGUGCAAUUCUGAAAUGAAAUGGCGACGGCAGCUGAAGUCACAUUGAAGACAUUCUCACUCAUAUGUAUGGAGGUUGAUGCUGACUGUCAGCAGAAUGGUGGUGGUGUCAGCCAAAACAUGUACAGGAGGCCCAUCUACAUGAUACCAGAUGCUGCUUAUUUCCUAUAAGUUCUCCUUCCCACAUAUCCUGGCUGUCACAUUUGGCGACCGUGGCCAUUGCUGCUA